GACGAACGCUGGCGGCGUGCUUAACACAUGCAAGUCGAACGGAAAGGCCCUGCUUUUUUGGGGUGCUCGAGUGGCGAACGGGUGAGUAACACGUGAGUAACCUGCCCUUGACUUUGGGAUAACUUAAGGAAACUGGGGCUAAUCCCGGAUAGGAGCUCCUGCUGCAUGGUGGGGGUUGGAAAGUUGCUGCGGUUGGGGAUGGACGCGCGGCUUAUCAGCUUGUUGGUGGGGUAGUGGCUUACCCAGGCUGGGACGGGUAGCCGGCCUGGGAGGGUGGACGGCCACAUGGGGACUGCGAGACGGCCCAGACUCCUACGUGAGGCAGCAGUGGCGAAUAUUGUACAAUGGGAGCAAGCCUGAGGCAGCAACGCCGCGGGCGUGAUGCCGGCUUUUGGGUUGUAAACCGCUUUCGCCUGUGACGAAGCGUGAGUGACGGUACUGGGUAAAGAAGCACCGGCUAACUACGUG
RNAcentral lists this ribosomal RNA (468 nucleotides) under uncultured bacterium. RNAcentral describes it as "partial 16S ribosomal RNA". It matches the Rfam family "Bacterial small subunit ribosomal RNA", at positions 28 to 507 of the family's 1533-position model. The record is from RNAcentral.